RNAcentral lists this ribosomal RNA (273 nucleotides) under uncultured bacterium. RNAcentral's name for it is "partial 16S ribosomal RNA". It matches the Rfam family "Bacterial small subunit ribosomal RNA", at positions 524 to 796 of the family's 1533-position model. The record is from RNAcentral.
GACGGAGGGUGCAAGCGUUGUUCGGAAUCACUGGGCGUAAAGCGCGUGUAGGCGGCUGAAUAAGUCGGAUGUGAAAGCCCGGAGCUCAACUCCGGAAGUGCAUUCGAAACUGUUCGGCUCGAGUACGGGAGAGGGAAGUGGAAUUCCUGGUGUAGAGGUGAAAUUCGUAGAUAUCAGGAGGAACACCGGUGGCGAAGGCGGCUUCCUGGACCGAUACUGACGCUGAGACGCGAAAGCGUGGGGAGCAAACAGGAUUAGAUACCCCCGUAGUCC